AAAGCUACAACAAAUAACAAUGGUUGCAACCACUCACUAUAGAUUAGCUUUCUGAAUUUCGAUGUGAGGUAGUGUGACAAAUUGACCCAUAUUACCAUAAACACACCUCAAAAUUUUAGUAGUACAGUUGGUUGAUUACAUAAACUUUCGUCUUGUUGAUGAGGUUCGAUUCUAUUGUAGUUCCAUCCCCUGUUUCAUCUUCCCCUCCCCCAAUUAAAAAGAGAAAACAAAAAAAGGGAUUGGAAGAGGGAGGGAAAUUAAGAAGAAGAAAAGGCAACAAGAAAUGGCACGUGUAUUUAUGGAUGAUGUCUGACUUAUGCAAGGUAAGAAUUAAUUUUUGAAGAAUUAAGCAAUUCAAAAUGACAUGAAAUAGGUACUUUUUCCUAGUUUUCCAUUCACUAUAAUUUCAAUAUGACAAUAACCCAGCCAAUUGUGAUGUUACUAUCGGGCUCAGAUUUAGGUUGAACAGCUCUUCUUACCGAAGGUUAUUUUAUUUCUAGGACUCAAAUUUAAAAUUUUUAAUUAUAAGAGUGAAGAAACUUUCAUAAUUCCACUACAUCCUUGAUUAUCGUAAAUCGUAACUGAAAGCACACCAAACAGUUUCAAAAUUUUCUAUCCUAAUUCAGACAUUAGCUCUUCAAUUUUAUAAGUAAAUUUAUAAAUUUAAAAGCCGCAUACAAAUAUUGUGAGUCAUAAUCUCUUGUAAAUCUAUAUGCUUAAAAUCUAUGGAAAUUGCAGUUGAAGAAAAAAAAAUACUAGAUUACUAAUAGUAAUGUUGUAAAAAAAUCUUUAGAAGGAGCAAUAUACUUUUCCCUAUUUUCAUAUGAAAUUGUCAAUUUAAAACAUAUUAAGGGAGUAAGUCAGUAAACUCAACAUGAACAUCAAAUUGGUGUAUUCGUCCUACAUUUUUUGUGUUUUCUUAGGGAUUAUGUCGUCUAGUUUAUUAGAUUGUUUUAUUUUGUUUUAUUAUUUACUUAUUUUUGAGAAAGCUGGUUCCUUCGUGAUUGAAAGUCGAAGAAGUAGGUAUGGAAUAUGUUGUGUUUACCCUUAAAAACGGAUAACAAUUAAAUUUAUACGCGGUUUUAAGUAUAUGUGAAUUGAUUCAACACAAAUAAUCAAGAAUGUUAGAUAAACGAAUUAAAUAUAGAAUAAAUAACCAAACCAAUUGUGAUGUUAUGACCGAGCUCAGAUUUAGGUUGAACAGUAGUUUGCCCUCGAUCGGACCCUUGGUUCGAAGCCAAAUGUAUAUGAAGAACAACAAUAAAAUAAGAACUUUUCAAUAGCUAGAAAGCAGAACAUGAAUUUGUAUUGCAUUGGUUUGCGUGUUACAAUAUGUGUUAUCAAAGAAAACUUCUCCUUUUUAUAGUAGGAGAGUUUCACCCCUAGUACAAGUAUAAAAAGGGUAAAGAUCUUCCUCUUUCGUUAAUUACUGAUCUGUAACCACCAUCGAGCGAGAUCCGCGUCGUGAUAUCCGGUUGGUUCCGGAUAUCACGACCUUCUAUAUGUUGCCUACAACUGUUCAUUGCGCUUCCCGAAGUCCCGGAACUCGUCCCAAGUCUGGGGUACAUCGUUUUAUCUGGUCCAAUAGCGAGCACUCCGUUCGGGCCUCGAUACAAAGAGUUCCCAGCUUCGAUUUUGAUUUUGUAAAUUCAUACUCUUACUUCGUUUGAUCUGCCGAAAAAUCAGGGUGUGCGUUAACCCCGAUUUCAACUUCAAACCUUCAUACUCUUUUUUCACCUUUAAACCUUCAUACUUUUCCUUCGAAUCUUCAUAUUUUCCGGAUCUCGAUGGCUAAAACUUCCAAGUCAGUUCCUCAGUAGGUUGCCCCUUCAUCUUCCCACCCGAUCGCAGAUGCCGAAGUGGCUGCUCCCGAGGUGGCCCCAAAGCACCCCAUGAAAAGCUUUAUACCCGGGGGCUGCUCAAUCGGAGAUGACUUCAAGGUCGAGAAGGAAUCUAGCCAACAAGACUGGGAGUGAGGGAGCAUCGAGAUACAUAUGCUCUGCCACCGAAAAUAUCCUACCCGUAGUCCAAUUGGACUGUAAGUGGGAGGGUAAAGACGUGGUAGUCCCCGGGCCCAACGACGAUAUAACUACUCACGUGAAGGGGUAUCUGAGUAUUUACACUUACCCCUUCACGCUCGCCCCUAUGGAUGCCGUAGUUCUUGCUUUUUGCAAGAGAUAUGAGGUGUGUCUUGGACAAAUUCACCCAUUCUUCUAGAGGAUUGUGAUCCUUUUGCGCCACUUUGUAAACAACACUGUGUCUUGUCACUUCACCCUCGACCACCUACGCCGUUUGUACGGUCCCCUAAUCUUCCGAGGGGGACUUAUCAAGCUCGUCCGUCGAGAAAACAAGGCUCCAUUUUUGAGUAUUUACGAGGACCGAGACCGAGGUUGGCAGGGGCGGUUCGUUCGGGUGAAAACUGAAGACCUGAUUCCCCCCGAGUUUCUGUCGUUCCCCGAGGAGUGGAACGCAUAAUGUAAGUAUCGCCUUUCUUGGGUAUUUCUUCCCUUUUAUUUCUUUUUCUCUUCGUUUGUGUUUAUGGUCGUGCAGCCAUUGCCCGAGUUCCAGAUGCAAUCCCUUGAUUCAAGGAGUGGAUUGAGGGGAUUUGUAAGCAGAUGCCCUACUCUGAGCGCGCAUGUCGCAAGCUUUCGAAAGGCAGAUGGGAGGUCCGUUCUCAUAGUGAGGUUCUUUCCCGAAAUUGUUAUCAUCACGCUUUUAACUUACAUAGUGUUAACUUUUCCCCUUUUCUUACGGGUCUACCUAAGACCACUCUCUUGAUGAUGAUGAGGAUCCGUUGUUGCCUGCCGAGCCCUCCGUCUCAGGACAGCCCGGAGCUGCCGCGAAGGAGGAGAAGAAGAAAAAGAAAAAGUCCUCGGGUUCCCCGGACCCCGAGGGGAAGAGGAAGAAGAGGGAGGCCACCCGGGCUCGGAAGCUCAAGAAGAAUACCAAGUCCAGGGCACCAGACCCUGGCUAUCUCUACCGGCUCAGGGAUUAGCCCGAAGAAGACAACAUCUUCGUCGCCCAUGGAUCGAUCCCCACUGGGGAGUAGGCGACGACCGAGAAAGUGGGUCACGAGGCCGAUCCCCUUCAGGCUCGGGAAGUUGAGGGGGAGAUGGAGGUUGUGACUUCCUAGGAAGCCGCUCCCGUUUCUUAGGAGGAGACCGGUGUCAAUGACAUCAUAGAGACGCCCUCUAUACCGAGUCCAUGCUCGAGGAGGCCCAAGCGGGGCAAAGAAAAAUCAAGUGAGGGAGUGUAGGGUUCAGAUGACCCUCGCAACUCCUUUAUCGAUGGCAUGGACAUGUCCACAUUGGAGGACUUCUCCGGGUUAGGCCACCUAGAGAUCCCGAAGAAAGGACGUUCCCUUGGGAGCUGGCGGGCCGAGUUCGAUCCCAAAACUGGUGAAGCCAUUUCCUGCAUCGAGCGUGGACCCCGGGCACAAGAGAACAGUCGUUCUUACAGUCCCAGAGGAUUCUCGGGUCCUAUCCGCUCCAGUGGGCGUAUCCAGCUACCUCCGAUGCCUGGUGAUGACGUCCAAAUCUACUACUAAAAAGUAAAUGGAUAUAGUCGCAUGUAAUAUAAUUUAUCCAACUAUGAGUCGGGGUCGAAUCCCACAGAGAACAAUAUGUAGGUGAGUAGGCGUGUAAGAGAAUUAUCACUUAUUAUGCUAAGCUAAACACUUAGAAAGGUUUUGAGAAAAUAUUUAUAACUAAUUGCGAAAAUGUAAACUAAUCUAGAAAGAAAGUAAAAUGAUCAAUGGCUACAACAUGAAUGCAUUGGGAAUUACGCUCAAGUAACGAUCCAAUGUAUUUCACGAUUUUACAAAUAUGAGCGAGUUUAUGUUAAUUAGCCUCGGGUAAUAAUCUAUAUUAGCUUCUUCCGAAAACUAAAAGACUUCCUAAGUGAAUUAUCCCUAAAAGAAUUAAGAGAUUAAGCACACCCGAAUAUGGCUACAAGUAGUUCAAUCCUAUCCCUAGGUAGAAUCUAUAAAGUGAGGGUUAACGCCUCAAGUUCUUGUUAAUUAAUCUUUCCCAACCCCAAAUUAUCUUUCCCAAAAUUAAUUCGAAGUAAAUUGGCGAGUCCUAGGGUUAGCUAAUCCCUUUGGAAACAUUAAAGAACAAGAAUAAUUAAAGAAAUAAUAACUCACUUUAUAAUAACUAAAAAUCGUUCAAUACACAAGCACAACAAGGUAUUUAAUUCACACUUUUAAUACGAAUAGUCCCAUAAACAAGAUUAAAGUGUUGGAAAAAAUACUAAACAUUUAGAUAUACAAUACAAAACAAGAAAAUGAAGAAAUGAACAAAAAUGGAUAAGAAAUUCUCAAACAAAAGCUUNNNNNNNNNNNNNNNNNNNNNNNNNNNNNNNNNNNNNNNNNNNNNNNNNNNNNNNNNNNNNNNNNNNNNNNNNNNNNNNNNNNNNNNNNNNNNNNNNNNNNNNNNNNNNNNNNNNNNNNNNNNNNNNNNNNNNNNNNNNNNNNNNNNNNNNNNNNNNNNNNNNNNNNNNNNNNNNNNNNNNNNNNNNNNNNNNNNNNNNNNNNNNNNNNNNNNNNNNNNNNNNNNNNNNNNNNNNNNNNNNNNNNNNNNNNNNNNNNNNNNNNNNNNNNNNNNNGGUCGUGUAUUUAUGGGUUUGGAAUCGAGAAAAUGUGAAAUGCCAAGACUGUUCAUAGCUGAAGCCCGUUGACCGCACUUGCGGAAGGAAUAUUGCAGGUGCGGCUUCGCAGAAGAGGAAUGCUGCACGCAAAAGCGAUCAUAAGUGGGCAUUUGAACUUCCGCAGAAGCAGGUGCAUCCUUUGUGCGCAGAUGCGCCUCCGUGGAUGCAGAUAACAAAACGCGGAUGCUCUCCCAGCUGGAGAUUGAUAUUUCUGCAGAUGCGGCCUUCCACUCGCAUAUGCGAGGUCGCAUAAGCGAACAGCCUUUCGCAGAUGCGGAAUCACUGAAGGAAUUUUACACUUUUUUAACUCUUGUAUUGCUCAAUUCCACUUCAAUUGAAUUCAACUCUCUACAUGACAUCAUUUACCUGAAACUCUAGUAAUACACACCAUAAACAACCUCAUAUUAUAAUUAACGGAUACAAAAACUAAAGAAAAGAGACUAAAAUAAAUGGUAAAAUUACCACUCAUCAACACCCCCAACUUAAAGCUUUUGCUUGUCCUCAAGCAAAUCAAAAACAACAAUUCAAUGAGGUUCUACCAUUUAAAGCACAAGUAGCAUUGCUAUCAUUCACAAAUCACAUUCUCUAAUUAAGCACCAUACUUAUGGAUUUGGUUGGUACUAAUAAUUAGGCGCAAUCAUGUGAAUAUCAACCAAAUAACUCCCUUAUUUAAAACAAUCUCAAGAAUGCAAUGGAGUUUCAACACAAUCAAGUGACAAUGACCAAGCCUCAAGAAAUGACUCAAAAGCACUAGUCUACUACAUAUGCUCAAUUUACACAAUUCUAAAUCUAUCAAUGUCACCAAUCCAUCAUAAUCCAUGUGCCCUCACAAGAAAGAAAGUGUAACGACCCAAUCGGUUGUUUUGCCUUCUAGGACCCCGUUCUCCUAAAUAAGACUCCCCGUAUGUGCUUUUGUUGUUUUAUGACUUGCGGGGAUGGUUAGUUCAGGAAUUGAAAGGGUUCGGGUUGAAAUCGGAACACUUGGUUCCUUAGUUUGGCUUUAAAAGGCAAAGUUUGACUUCGGUCAAUGUGUUGAGUAAGCAACCUUGGAAUUGGGAUUUGACGGUUCCAAUAGGUUCGUAUGAUGAUUUUAGACUUGGGCGUAUAUUUGAAUCGGGUUUUGGACGACCCGAGAGCAUUUAGGCGCUUAAUAGUGAAAGUUGGCUAUUUGAAGGUUUAAAAUUCUUCAAAUAUGGUUUGGAGUAGGUUUUGGAGUAAUCGAGGUCCGUUUGGAAUUCCAAGCCUGGAAUAGUUCCAUAUGGUGAUUUAAGAGUUGCAUGCAAAAUUUGGUAUCAUUUCGAGUAGUUUAAGUAUGUUUCGGCACGUUCGGAGUAAGCUUGAAGAACUUGAAGUUUCAAAGUCGAAUCAAUUUGGGUUGGGGUAUGACUCUUAGUUUUGAUGUUGUUUAAUGUAUUCUGAGAGUUCGAGCAAGUCCGUUUUAUGAUUUUAAAGUUGUUGGUAUGUUCGGACGAGGCCCCGGGGGCCUCGAGUGUUAAUCGGACGAGGCUCGGACCAAGCUUGGACUUAGGUUUUGAUUAAAAAAAAGAGAUUUAACCAUGAAAAUAGCUAUGAAAUUGAGUGAAAAUCAUACAUUUGAGUCAGUGAGGUUAUGGGUAACAACUUUCUUCUAAAAUUUUUGGAAUCCAGGUACGUGGGCCCGAGGAUGAAUUUUAGGAAUUCUUCAAUUGGGAUUGGGUAACCACUUUAAUAGCUAGAAUAUGAACGUUUGAGCUCGUAUUGAUUAUUUUAUAUAACAUUUGACUAGUUUCGAGUCGUUUGGCACCGAGUUGAGGAUUUAAAGCACAGUUGUGGACCAGAAAGUAAGCUUUGAGAUAAGGUAAGUCUCUUGUCUAAUCUUGUAAGAGGGAAUUCUCCCCAUAGGUGAUUUAAAUUAUUAUUAUUUGCUUCUAAUUGUGGGGGAUACAUAUGCAAGAGGUGAUGAGAGUCGGUGCGUAGCUACUAUUCAUGCUAAUGUCCAGGUAGUCUAGGACCCAAAUCAUAGAUUACUUAAAAUGUUGGCACCCUACUUGUUAAUUAAAGUAACUAAAUUACUUAGAAAUUGUUGAUUAAAUUGUGGAAGACCAUUAAUGGAAUUUGUGGUACCUUGUGUAUUAGCCUUUAAUAACAGUUGAGACAAAUACUUAUAAAUUAUUCUCUCUUCUUGUGGAGCGGGUCGAACGCUUCGGCAGUAGAUAAAUGCAUCUAUGGUUCGUGCCGCUUGACCCUCGAUAGUGUAUAUAUUAUUCUGGAUCGGGCCGUACGACCUCGGCAUAAAUUGUGCUUAAUAAUACUUUGUGCCUAACCAUACCUUAUACUAUAUUGUGGUUUAAAAGGUUACGAUUUGUAAAGAAAGUGAUCUAUUUGAGAUUAUUACGAAUUGUGGAAGAACUAUUUGCUCCUGCAUGUUGAUGAGUUAUUAUUAUUACUUACAUUAAUCAUGUUAUUUAGAAAUUUCUUUAUUCAUUUUAUUAACCCAUAGUAAGUGUUGAAGUCGACCCCUCGUCACUACUUAUUCGAGAUUAGACUUGAUACUUACUGGGUACACGUUGUUUAGGUACUCAUGCUACACUUGCUAUACUUUUUGUGCAGGAUCUGAGACAGGUGCAUCAGGCGAUGUGAGACAGAUAUCCCGAGGCCUAGUAGUGAGCUGCUUCCUGAGCCGUUCUGCAGCCCCUAGAGUCUCUCUUUUGUAUUUGUGUUCUGUCUAUUCUAUGUUCAGACAGUAAUUAGAAUUUUGUAUAAUAUACUAGAUACUCAUAUGCUUGUGACACCAGGUCUUGGCACACACACUUGUAGAAUUGUGGUUUUGAACUACUACUUGGUUUUAUUUAUAUAAACCUUUAAUUUUCUUAAA
RNAcentral lists this long non-coding RNA (7501 nucleotides) under Nicotiana tabacum (common tobacco). RNAcentral's name for it is "long non-coding RNA (NTAB_LNC007842)". Lineage: Eukaryota; Viridiplantae; Streptophyta; Magnoliopsida; Solanales; Solanaceae. The record is from RNAcentral.